This 24-nucleotide non-coding RNA is filed under the name Cricetulus griseus (Chinese hamster). The record is from RNAcentral. Lineage: Eukaryota; Metazoa; Chordata; Mammalia; Rodentia; Cricetidae.
GCUGGACCUGAGUGAUUAAUCUUG